RNAcentral lists this ribosomal RNA (427 nucleotides) under uncultured beta proteobacterium. RNAcentral describes it as "bacterial SSU rRNA". It matches the Rfam family "Bacterial small subunit ribosomal RNA", at positions 355 to 774 of the family's 1533-position model. Lineage: Bacteria; Pseudomonadati; Pseudomonadota; Betaproteobacteria. The record is from RNAcentral.
UGGGGAAUUUUGGACAAUGGGCGAAAGCCUGAUCCAGCCAUGCCGCGUGAGUGAAGAAGGCCUUCGGGUUGUAAAGCUCUUUUAGUCGGAAUGAAAGAGUUGCAAUGAAUAAUUGUGAUUUAUGACGGUACCGACAGAAAAAGCACCGGCUAACUACGUGCCAGCAGCCGCGGUAAUACGUAGGGUGCGAGCGUUAAUCGGAAUUACUGGGCGUAAAGGGUGCGCAGGCGGUCUUGCAAGUCAGAUGUGAAAGCCCCGGGCUUAACCUGGGAAUUGCGUUUGAAACUACAAGACUAGAGUGCAGCAGAGGGGAGUGGAAUUCCAUGUGUAGCAGUGAAAUGCGUAGAGAUGUGGAAGAACACCGAUGGCGAAGGCAGCUCCCUGGGUUGACACUGACGCUCAUGCACGAAAGCGUGGGGAGCAAACA